CAGCCGCCGCGGGAAUACGAAGGGUGCAAGCGUUAAUCGGAAUUACUGGGCGUAAAGCGUGCGUAGGCGGUUUGUUAAGUCUGCUGUGAAAUCCCCGGGCUCAACCUGGGAAUGGCAGUGGAUACUGGCAAGCUAGAGUGUGUCAGAGGAUGGUGGAAUUCCCGGUGUAGCGGUGAAAUGCGUAGAGAUCGGGAGGAACAUCAGCGGCGAAGGCGGCCAUCUGGGACAACACUGACGCUGAGGCACGAAAGCGUGGGGAGCAAACAGGAUUAGAUACCCCAGUAGUCCCUGUCUCUUAUAC
This 301-nucleotide ribosomal RNA is filed under the name uncultured bacterium. RNAcentral's name for it is "partial 16S ribosomal RNA". It matches the Rfam family "Bacterial small subunit ribosomal RNA", at positions 509 to 807 of the family's 1533-position model. The record is from RNAcentral.